RNAcentral lists this ribosomal RNA (260 nucleotides) under uncultured bacterium. RNAcentral describes it as "partial 16S ribosomal RNA". It matches the Rfam family "Bacterial small subunit ribosomal RNA", at positions 95 to 353 of the family's 1533-position model. The record is from RNAcentral.
GUGGCGGACGGGUGAGUAACGCGUGGGUAACCUGCCUUGUACUGGGGGACGAACAGUUGGAAACGACUGCUAAUACCGCAUAAGCGCACAGCUUCGCAUGAAGCAGUGUGAAAAACUCCGGUGGUACAAGAUGGACCCGCGUCUGAUUAGCUGGUUGGUGAGGUAACGGCCCACCAAGGCAACGAUCAGUAGCCGGCCUGAGAGGGUGAACGGCCACAUUGGGACUGAGACACGGCCCAAACUCCUCGGGAGGCAGCAUG